Molecule: ribosomal RNA, 422 nt
Filed under: uncultured bacterium
Lineage: Bacteria
Description: bacterial SSU rRNA
Rfam family: Bacterial small subunit ribosomal RNA
Source: RNAcentral
UAGGGAAUAUUGGACAAUGGAGGCAACUCUGAUCCAGCCAUCCCGCGUGAAGGAUUAAGGCCCUCUGGGUUGUAAACUUCUUUUCUCUGGGAAUAAAAACCGGUAUUCAUAUCGGCUUGAAGGUACCAGAGGAAUAAGCACCGGCUAACUCCGUGCCAGCAGCCGCGGUAAUACGGAGGGUGCAAGCGUUAUCCGGAUUCACUGGGUUUAAAGGGUGCGUAGGUGGCUUUGUAAGUCAGUGGUGAAAUCUUAGAGCUUAACUCUAAAACUGCCAUUGAUACUGCUUAGCUUGAAUCAGGUCGAGGUGGAUGGAAUAUUACAUGUAGCGGUGAAAUGCUUAGAUAUGUAAUAGAACACCGAUUGCGAAGGCAGUUCACUAGGCCUGUAUUGACACUGAGGCACGAAAGCGUGGGGAUCAAACA